RNAcentral lists this ribosomal RNA (496 nucleotides) under uncultured bacterium. RNAcentral's name for it is "partial 16S ribosomal RNA". It matches the Rfam family "Bacterial small subunit ribosomal RNA", at positions 28 to 523 of the family's 1533-position model. The record is from RNAcentral.
GAUGAACGCUGGCGGCAUGCUUUACACAUGCAAGUCGAACGGUAGAGGGGGCAACCCCUUGAGAGUGGCGAACGGGUGAGUAAUGCAUCGGAACGUGCCCAGUCGUGGGGGAUAACGCAGCGAAAGCUGUGCUAAUACCGCAUACGAUCUCUGGAUGAAAGCGGGGGACCGAAAGGCCUCGCGCGAUUGGAGCGGCCGAUGUCAGAUUAGGUAGUUGGUGGGGUAAAGGCUCACCAAGCCAACGAUCUGUAGCUGGUCUGAGAGGACGACCAGCCACACUGGGACUGAGACACGGCCCAGACUCCUACGGGAGGCAGCAGUGGGGAAUUUUGGACAAUGGGCGCAAGCCUGAUCCAGCAAUGCCGCGUGCAGGAAGAAGGCCUUCGGGUUGUAAACUGCUUUUGUACGGAACGAAAAGGUCUGGGUUAAUACCCUGGGCACAUGACGGUACCGUAAGAAUAAGCACCGGCUAACUACGUGCCAGCAGCCGCCGUAA